GGGGCCGUAGCUCAACUGGUAGAGCGGUAGCUUUGCAAGCUACAGGUCGUCGGUUCGAUCCCGAUCGGCUCCACCA
This 76-nucleotide transfer RNA is filed under the name Bdellovibrionales bacterium RIFOXYC1_FULL_54_43. RNAcentral's name for it is "tRNA-Ala". It matches the Rfam family "tRNA". Rfam says of the family: Transfer RNA (tRNA) molecules are approximately 80 nucleotides in length. Their secondary structure includes four short double-helical elements and three loops (D, anti-codon, and T loops). RNAcentral also lists the same sequence under 5 other names. The record is from RNAcentral. Lineage: Bacteria; Pseudomonadati; Bdellovibrionota; Bdellovibrionia; Bdellovibrionales.